GAUGAAGAACGUAGCGAAAUGCGAUAAGUAGUGUGAAUUGCAGAAUUCAGUGAAUCAUCGAAUCUUUGAACGCACAUUGCGCCCCUUGGUAUCCCGAGGGGCAUGCCUGUUCGAGCGUCAUUUCACCACUCAAGCCUGGCUUGGUGUUGGGCGACGUCCUCUUUGGGGACGCGCCUCGAAACGCUCGGCGGCGUGGCACCGGCUUUAAGCGUAGCAGAAUCUUUCGCUUUGGAAGUCGGGGCCCCGUCUGCCGGAAGACCUGCUCGCAAGGUUGACCUCGGAUCAGGCAGGGAUACCCGCUGAACUUAAGCAUACCAAUAAGCGGAGGA
Molecule: unclassified non-coding RNA, 329 nt
Filed under: soil metagenome
Description: partial contains 5.8S ribosomal RNA, internal transcribed spacer 2, and large subunit ribosomal RNA
Rfam family: 5.8S ribosomal RNA (bases 1-120)
Source: RNAcentral